AUCUUUUUAGUAUAAAAAUUAUAUUUGACUUCCAAUCAAAAGAUCUUAUCCUAAGAAAAGAUA
RNAcentral lists this transfer RNA (63 nucleotides) under Aelia sibirica. Its description in RNAcentral is "tRNA-Gly". The record is from RNAcentral. Lineage: Eukaryota; Metazoa; Arthropoda; Insecta; Hemiptera; Pentatomidae.